This 73-nucleotide transfer RNA is filed under the name Ictidomys tridecemlineatus (thirteen-lined ground squirrel). RNAcentral describes it as "Spermophilus tridecemlineatus (thirteen-lined ground squirrel) tRNA". It matches the Rfam family "tRNA". From Rfam's summary of the family: Transfer RNA (tRNA) molecules are approximately 80 nucleotides in length. Their secondary structure includes four short double-helical elements and three loops (D, anti-codon, and T loops). The record is from Rfam by way of RNAcentral. Lineage: Eukaryota; Metazoa; Chordata; Mammalia; Rodentia; Sciuridae.
GGAAAUAUAGCUCAGUUGGUAGAGUAUUUGCCUAGCAUGCCCAAGGCCCUGGGUUCAAUCCCCAGUACCACCA